GUGGGGAAUAUUGGGCAAUGGGCGAAAGCCUGACCCAGCAACGCCGCGUGAAGGAAGAAGGUUUUCGGAUCGUGAACUUCUAUCCUUGGUGAAGAUAAUGACGGAAGCCAAGAAGGAAGCCCCGGCUAACUACGUGCCAGCAGCCGCGGUAAUACGUAGGGGGCAAGCGUUGUCCGGAAUGAUUGGGCGUAAAGGGCGCGUAGGCGGCCCGGUAAGUCUGAAGUGAAAGUCCUGCUUUUAAGGUGGGGAUUGCUUUGGAUACGGUCAGGCUUGAGUGCAGGAGAGGUAAGCGGAAUUCCCGGUGUAGCGGUGAAAUGCGUAGAGAUCGGGAGGAACACCAGUGGCGAAGGCGGCUUACUGGACUGUAACUGACGCUGAGGCGCGAAAGUGUGGGGAGCAAACAGGAUUAGAAACCCCGGUAGUCC
Molecule: ribosomal RNA, 425 nt
Filed under: uncultured bacterium
Lineage: Bacteria
Description: partial 16S ribosomal RNA
Rfam family: Bacterial small subunit ribosomal RNA
Source: RNAcentral